This is a non-coding RNA of Ictidomys tridecemlineatus (thirteen-lined ground squirrel), 72 nucleotides long. The record is from Rfam. Lineage: Eukaryota; Metazoa; Chordata; Mammalia; Rodentia; Sciuridae.
GGGGUUGUGGCUCAGUGGUAGAGCGCUUGCCUCUCAUGUGAGAGGCACUGGGUUCAAUUCUCAGCAUCACAU